UUUAUGGAGAGUUUGAUCCUGGCUCAGGAUGAACGCUGGCGGCGUGCCUAAUACAUGCAAGUCGAGCGAACAGACGAGGAGCUUGCUCCUCUGACGUUAGCGGCGGACGGGUGAGUAACACGUGGAUAACCUACCUAUAAGACUGGGAUAACUUCGGGAAACCGGAGCUAAUACCGGAUAAUAUAUUGAACCGCAUGGUUCAAUAGUGAAAGACGGUUUUGCUGUCACUUAUAGAUGGAUCCGCGCCGCAUUAGCUAGUUGGUAAGGUAACGGCUUACCAAGGCAACGAUGCGUAGCCGACCUGAGAGGGUGAUCGGCCACACUGGAACUGAGACACGGUCCAGACUCCUACGGGAGGCAGCAGUAGGGAAUCUUCCGCAAUGGGCGAAAGCCUGACGGAGCAACGCCGCGUGAGUGAUGAAGGUCUUCGGAUCGUAAAACUCUGUUAUUAGGGAAGAACAAAUGUGUAAGUAACUAUGCACGUCUUGACGGUACCUAAUCAGAAAGCCACGGCUAACUACGUGCCAGCAGCCGCGGUAAUACGUAGGUGGCAAGCGUUAUCCGGAAUUAUUGGGCGUAAAGCGCGCGUAGGCGGUUUUUUAAGUCUGAUGUGAAAGCCCACGGCUCAACCGUGGAGGGUCAUUGGAAACUGGAAAACUUGAGUGCAGAAG
RNAcentral lists this ribosomal RNA (671 nucleotides) under Listeria monocytogenes. RNAcentral's name for it is "bacterial SSU rRNA". It matches the Rfam family "Bacterial small subunit ribosomal RNA", at positions 1 to 654 of the family's 1533-position model. The record is from RNAcentral. Lineage: Bacteria; Bacillati; Bacillota; Bacilli; Caryophanales; Listeriaceae.